UACGGGGGGAGCAAGCGUUGUUCGGAUUUACUGGGCGUAAAGGGCGCGUAGGCGGCCACCGCAAGUCAAUUGUGAAAUCUCCGGGCUUAACUCGGAACGGUCAACUGAUACUGCGGGGCUAGAGUGCGGAAGGGGCAACUGGAAUUCUCGGUGUAGCGGUGAAAUGCGUAGAUAUCGAGAGGAACACCUGCGGCGAAGGCGGGUUGCUGGGCCGACACUGACGCUGAUGCGCGAAAGCCAGGGGAGCGAACGGG
RNAcentral lists this ribosomal RNA (254 nucleotides) under uncultured bacterium. RNAcentral describes it as "partial 16S ribosomal RNA". It matches the Rfam family "Bacterial small subunit ribosomal RNA", at positions 524 to 776 of the family's 1533-position model. The record is from RNAcentral.